Molecule: ribosomal RNA, 465 nt
Filed under: uncultured bacterium
Lineage: Bacteria
Description: partial 16S ribosomal RNA
Rfam family: Bacterial small subunit ribosomal RNA
Source: RNAcentral
GACGAACGCUGGCGGCGUGCUUAACACAUGCAAGUCGAACGGAAAGGCCCUGCUUGCCGGGUACUCGAGUGGCGAACGGGUGAGUAACACGUGGGUGAUCUGCCCUGCACUUCGGGAUAAGCCUGGGAAACUGGGUCUAAUACCGGAUAGGAGCCAUUUUUAGUGUGAUGGUUGGAAAGUUUUUUCGGUGUAGGAUGAGCUCGCGGCCUAUCAGCUUGUUGGUGGGGUAAUGGCCUACCAAGGCGGCGACGGGUAGCCGGCCUGAGAGGGUGGACGGCCACAUUGGGACUGAGAUACGGCCCAGACUCCUACGGGAGGCAGAAGGGGGGAAUAUUGCACAAUGGGCGCAAGCCGGAUGCAGAGACGCCGCGUGGGGGAUGACGGCCUUCGGGUUGUAAACUCCUUUCGCUAGGGACGAAGCUUUUUGUGACGGUACCUAGAUAAGAAGCACCGGCUAACUACGUG